RNAcentral lists this ribosomal RNA (253 nucleotides) under uncultured bacterium. RNAcentral describes it as "partial 16S ribosomal RNA". It matches the Rfam family "Bacterial small subunit ribosomal RNA", at positions 524 to 776 of the family's 1533-position model. The record is from RNAcentral.
UACGGAGGGGGCUAGCGUUAUUCGGAAUUACUGGGCGUAAAGCGCACGUAGGCGGAUUGGAAAGUUGGGGGUGAAAUCCCAGGGCUCAACCCUGGAACUGCCUUCAAAACUCCCAGUCUUGAGGUCGAGAGAGGUGAGUGGAAUUCCGAGUGUAGAGGUGAAAUUCGUAGAUAUUCGGAGGAACACCAGAGGCGAAGGCGGCUCACUGGCUCGAUACUGACGCUGAGGUGCGAAAGCGUGGGGAGCAAACAGG